RNAcentral lists this ribosomal RNA (400 nucleotides) under uncultured Nitrososphaerota archaeon. Its description in RNAcentral is "bacterial SSU rRNA". It matches the Rfam family "Archaeal small subunit ribosomal RNA", at positions 471 to 871 of the family's 1478-position model. The record is from RNAcentral. Lineage: Archaea; Thermoproteati; Nitrososphaerota.
UAAAACCAGCACCUCGAGUGGUCAGGAGGUUUAUUGGGCCUAAAGCAUCCGUAGCCGGUUGCAUAAGUUUUCGGUUAAAUCUAUGCGCUUAACGUAUAGGCCGCCGAAAAUACUGUGCAGCUAGGGAGUGGGAGAGGUACACGGUACUCGAUAGGAAGGGGUAAAAUCCUUUGAUCUAUUGAUGACCACCUGUGGCGAAGGCGGUGUACCAGAACACGUUCGACGGUGAGGGAUGAAAGCUGGGGGAGCAAACCGGAUUAGAUACCCGGGUAGUCCCAGCUGUAAACGAUGCAGACUCGGUGAUGCAUUGGCUUGUGGCCAAUGCAGUGCCGCAGGGAAGCCGUUAAGUCUGCCGCCUGGGAAGUACGUACGCAAGUAUGAAACUCAAAUGAAUUGACGG